Molecule: long non-coding RNA, 4343 nt
Organism: Ictalurus punctatus (channel catfish)
Lineage: Eukaryota; Metazoa; Chordata; Actinopteri; Siluriformes; Ictaluridae
Source: Ensembl
AAUAAGGGUUAACGUGCAGAAAUAAAUUUGGGGUAUUUAAAGUAUUCUUAAAUUUCAGCACCUGGACAAUCCUGCUGAUCUUUUUCAGCUGCCAUGACCUCCUAUUUUACAGUCACCCUCCUGCGAUAUUUUUUAUUUAUUUAAAAAAAUUUUUAAAGCAUUUCGUGAUCCGUAUUAGCAGGAGAUCAGGCACUAAUGACUAUCUUUUAAUAAUUUACCCACUAAUCGCGAAUACAUAUCUGGGGUAUUCAAGAUUCUUUAUUAAUUUUAGUCCGAAAAUAAAUCUGAAAUGAUGGUAAACACCCCCCCCCCCCCCCCCCCCCCUUUUUUUUUUUUUUGAAAAUCCCAAAUUCAAAAACAUCUUGUUUGCAUAUAAUUGUUUUAGGUUUCUUUUUUUUAAAAAAUAAUUUCGUAACAAAUGAACGCAACCUACACGGGCUCUGUUGAUAUUCAAUUCUUGAGUCCUAAGUGUGAAUGGUCUUUCAAACAAAGUGGUGUGUGUGUGUGUGUGUGUGUGUGUGUGUGUGUGUGUGUGUGCGUGUGCGUGCACGUGUCUUGAAGGUAAAAAUUUGUACCUCUUCCCUUAUUGCCGUACGGGUUGUGUACAUCAACCCAGGCGAUAACCAAUCAGUUCUUGCCUUGCAGUAACUUCAUAUUGUGGAACGCUCUUUAUCGACUUGGUAGUUAUAUACCUCAGAAAAUCCAUGUUAUUGAAACAUUUUUUUUUUUCUAUAAGAAUAUCCAAAGCAACUUUAUUUUCAUAUGCUACGAUGGACCUUAGCGGAAAGCUGUGUAUAGACCGUCAACACUGUCGUGUGAAAACGUAUGCAUUGUAAACCUUUUGUGGAAACUGGAGGUUGUGGCUAAAAGAUCUUCCAAAUAGGAACGUAUUACUUAGUCAGUAUCGUGUAUUAUAUUGUAACUGAACCCUGUGUACCUUUUUUGUAUGAUUUGUAUCUUUAUUUUUUGUCAUUUCCAGGGUUUUGUUUGUUUGUUUGCUUGUUUAGAAUUUCACUCAACCACCAAAGAUACUUUUAGAAUCGGACACCUCGCAUCAUGUACACUCACCAGCCACUUUAAUAGGAACACCUGUACCUCUGCGCGUUCAUGCAGUCAUCCAAUCAGCCGUUCUAUGUAGCAGGAGCAACACAGUGAAUAAAAUUAUACUUAUUGUAUCGGGUCAAGAGCUUCAGUUCACAUCAAACAUGUGAGAAGGAGGAAAAAUAUCAUCUCGGUCACUUUGACCUUGGUUGUUUUUGCUGGUGUCAGACAAAACUGUUGAUUUUCAGUUAUAACAGUUACACAGAAUGGUGUGGAAAAACAAAAAACAUCCAGUGGGUAGCAGUUCAGGUCAGAGGAGAAUGGACCAGAGUGGCUCAAGCUGAACAGGAAGGCUACGAGAACACCUUUACAUAAGCACCCUUUACAACCGUGAUGAGCAGAAAAGCAUCUCAGAGCGCGCAACAACUUGAGGCGGCUGCCUAUCACUGGAUGUGUGUGUGUUUUUUUUUAACGAAGUGGAUGUAGAGCGCAAGGUCUUGAACCUUUUUCGUGUCCUGUUAAAGGGCACAAUAUUCACAAAAUGCAUCCUGAAAAUUGUAAUCAAACAGUAGUUUGAUUCCAAUGCAAAUUUCUUGGUAUAGUGGAUUGAAGUGACUGUAUUUUUGCAACUGUCAUUAAGCUAGAUAGCUGUGAGGCAGCUACUGUAAUAUUGGUUGUUUUCACACAAAGAUCUAAAAAAUAAAUAAAUAAAUAAAGGAGGAAAGCAUCAAUCCGACUCCUCAUUAGCAUUACCUUUUGUUGUAAGUGAGCACUUUCAGUUUAUGAUCUGUAAACCAAAGUGUGACAUUGUGAUUGCGUUCAUUAUUUCCUGUAAAUUUCUAAAAUUGUAAUCCUGUCAUUCAGUCACUAUGGCAGUAUUCAAUACUGUAUGACUUAUCAUCAUCCUAAUCAUGCCGAUAUGUGUUGUUUGGCCUUGGAGAACCCUUCACAUGUUUCUUGAAUGUUUCUUCAAAACUUUACAGAGUAGAAAAUCUUGAAAUUGUACUAUGUGAAGGGUUUUCCCAGGCCGUAUUAGCAUGAUUAUCCUAACUAGUCCCUGGUCAGGUCUUUGGUCCAGGCUGCUCAGGAAGCUCUUGAACGCAGAGCACAGGCAGCAGAAUCCCUAUCUCAGCAUAUAGAGCGCAGUGUGAACUACCCUGGCCUAGUUGCACACCGGAUGCCUGUUCAGUCAUUCAACUUCGCAACAACAUAGACGGGCAGUUUUACAGACCUGUGCAGACCUGGCCCAUCAUCAAGAGGAGAGGUACCCCACCCUUGUUUUAGCCCACUAACUUGCCCUAUGCCUACUCAACGUCACCCCAGAGAUACUGGAAAUGUUCCCUGCCCCGCCACCCCAACAAGUUGCUCCUUGACACUCUCAGGAAGGGCUGUUGUUUUCAGUUCCAUCACAGAUCCCCCAGUGAGCACUCAAGUUUUCCCCAUGGUGGUCCAGGACCCUCGUCAGGCCCUUGCCCUGUCAGUGGAGGUACGAAAGCUGCUAGAGAAAAGGUGCAAUAGAGCCAGUAGACUCCUAGACCCACCCCAGGGGAUUCCACUCAAAAUUCGUUGUUCUGAAGAAGGAUGGGAGUUACGCAUUCCGAAUUGCGGCACGUGCAGACGCAGCAGCUAGGCGCUCCCAGUCUAGAAACGUUUUCUUUAUUAAUUUGUGUUUUUCAUUUGUUAUGUUUACCAGUUCAAGUAAUUGAUGCACACAGGAUAUACAAAAGGUCUUCUUGAGGGGGCUAUGCAUGUUAAGCCACCAACAUGGAUAGUGUAUACCCAGUGGGAUUUGUGGAUGGUGUUAGACAGUCUGUGUUCACACUAUGAGCUGAUUGAGCAAGCAGAUAUUGGGAAUCUUUCUCUGAAGACUGCUUUCCUUUUGGCCAUAACAUCGACCAUGAAGGGUCGGUGAGUUGCAUGCUGUCUCGGUGAGUCCAAAGUGUCUCAAGUGGGGGCCAGAGGAUAAUCAAUUUACACUUUCCAGCCGAAGGUAUUGUCAGUUCAGUUCACAAAUCAGCCUAUUCAGCCUGCAGCAUUUCGACAGGAGGGUGAGGCCUUCCAGGCAGCCCUAUGUCUUGUUCGGGCAUUAAGAAAAUACGUCCUCAUGGUGUACCACGGAUCAACUAUUCGUCUGUUUUUGGUCCAGCAGAAGAGGUACACCCUCGCUCACUGGUGGGAGUACUAUUAUCGAGGCGUAUCAUUCGGCAGGCCGUACAACUCCGGCAUCUAUCAGAUGUCAUUCAACUCGGGCAGUGACCACUUCUUGGGUGGCAUUGCGUGGUGUGCCCCUCUCUGAGAUAUGUGCAGUGGCCACAUGGGCAUCACCUUGCACGUUCACAAGGUUUUACAGGCUUAUUCCUGUAAAAUGCCCUUAUUCCAUUGGUUAGCCUGAUUCCAUGUCUUCUGGUUACCAGACAACGCUUAUUGUGUUCCUCGUGACUUGGCUGUAUUCGUCUUCCACCAUGUACUCACCAUCUCUGGCGGUCUGGAAAUAGAACGUUGUUUACUGGCGUAGCCGUGGUUCUAUGAAUGGUGGAAGACCGCCAGUGUCUCUGGUCACUCGGAUAGUGAGAAUGACUAGGAGACCAACCGUGAUGUAGUCGGAAUCUGAUAGAGCUUCUGACACUCCACCGUUGAAGGUCACGUGUGAAUGAAUCAAUACAAGAUUCUGUCAUGCACGAGACACGACUCCUUUCACCGUGUACUAACCGUCUCUGGUGGUGUUCCACCAUUCAAUAACCAGUAUUCAGUUUGCUGGAAGGAGACUUAUAUUUAGCAUUUUUGGAAGGAGUCUCCAGUGUCCGCUCUUUGUAACAGUCAGAGAAAAGCUGUAGCUUUAGAUUCUUCAAGUUGCAUUUUUUUUUUUUUGUUGAAUUACAUUCGAAAGUGAGAAAAAGACAUGCUGAAUUGAAGUUGUUUCAACUGUUUCAAUUGUUUUUUGUCCUGUCAUGCUUCAUUAACAAAAAAAACAUUUAAUAGUUGACAAAUUGCUGUGGGAUAAUGUGAAUUAAACACUCCGGAACAUGCUUUUAUUGGAAAAGAAUCAACAUUGUGGUGGUAACAUUAACUCCACUUAACACACGUCAGGCCGUGUCACACCAUUCUGUCGUUGAUUAUUUUCCUGUAAUAGCAUAUCCCCGUCAUGUUUAAACGUGAAAAGGGAGAAAAUUGCAGACAGAUUGAUUUUAUUUGCAUUUAAUGUAAACAUACAAUAAAUAAAAAUAACACUGAAAACGAUGUCUGUUUAUUCAUUCUUUUAUUCACAGCAUGCAGCCUUUGCUUGAUUGUUGCAGAAAUUCUAG